GAAACUUACAUGGAUUCCCCUAGUAACGGCGAGCGAACCGGGAGCAGCCCAGCUUGAGAAUCGGGCGGCUGUGCCGUCGGAAUUGUAGUCUGGAGAGGCGUCCUCAGCGAUGGACCGGGCCCAAGUCCCCUGGAAAGGGGCGCCUGGGAGGGUGAGAGCCCCGUCCGGCCCGGACCUGGUCGCCCCACGAGGCGCCGUCAACGAGUCGGGUUGUUUGGGAAUGCAGCCCAAAUCGAGCGGUAGACUCCGUCCAAGGCUAAAUACAGGCGAGAGACCGAUAGCGAACAAGUACCGCGAGGGAAAGAUGAAAAGGACUUUGAAAAGAGAGUCAAAGAGUGCUUGAAAUUGCCGGGAGGGAAGCGGAUGGGGGCCGGCGAUGCGCCCCGGCCGUAUG
This 394-nucleotide ribosomal RNA is filed under the name Triticum aestivum (bread wheat). RNAcentral's name for it is "partial small subunit ribosomal RNA". It matches the Rfam family "Eukaryotic large subunit ribosomal RNA", at positions 61 to 453 of the family's 3401-position model. Lineage: Eukaryota; Viridiplantae; Streptophyta; Magnoliopsida; Poales; Poaceae. The record is from RNAcentral.